Molecule: non-coding RNA, 300 nt
Organism: Vicia faba (fava bean)
Lineage: Eukaryota; Viridiplantae; Streptophyta; Magnoliopsida; Fabales; Fabaceae
Source: the annotation of a GenBank genome assembly
AUGUUUCAACUUCUGUUCCCACAAGAAAAUCCGCUUUCUCCCUUUAGAACUCGUUGUUCCCGUAUCAACAUUCUCUCUUCACCGGCGAGUUCUGCCUAUCUCCGCCUAUCUCAUCCUCCAUGUUACCGCAAAUUGGAAAUCGGUUAUGUUGUUAGGGAAGUUAGAGGAAUUGUUGUGAUGAAUGAGUUAACUCUAAACUGGUUAACUUGGUUUAGUGUUAAACUGUUUGUGAAGUUGGCUUUCUGGACCGGUUUUGCUUCAAGAUUUUGCAGGGGCUGUUUAUGUUUUGUUAAAGGUUGA